UGACCGCCAAAUUGCUAUUCCGUACGGGCUCUAUUACGCGUAAACAUUGCAUAUACAUUCUGAGGGUCGGGCUCUGAAUGCCUAUUCAAUGCCUUUCGUAAUAGCUUUUCCUUUAUUUCAAACAAAAAUCUACUACUACCUCCACUCAUCAUUCUGGUAACAAUAGUAAGAGAUCUUCUUGGGUUUUGUAUAAAAUGCAUAGAAGACUCUCUGGUUUUGGAUUUUGGGUGUGGCGGAUUUGCGUGUGGUGGAAAAUAUGGAGAAAUCGAUGUCGAAGCAAAGCUUUCCAAUGAAAUGUGCAUGUCUCCCAUUGUGCAUCCCAACGAUUGUGGGAACGACAAGGCUCUGAUCAAUUAUCAGCUAUUGUUGUCUUCACCAUAGAGUAUUCUCUAAUAUGCAAAAUUUCAGAUUACAAGAAGCUUUAUAUAACAUUCUCUAUAUUGAGUAUAGUUUUUAGUUAUAGUAUAUAAUUAGUAUUUAAAGAUAAAGAUAUGCACUGUAUAUGUAAAAAUAGGUUUCUCAAGUUCCCAAUGAAAAAGAGACAGUUUAUGGAGCAUUGGAUAAAUGGGAGACUGAGUUUCCAUUGAUUGUAGCUACAAAAGCUUUACAAAUUUUCAAGAAGAGGAGCUAAUGGUUGCGUGAAAUUUAGUCUAUUGGUAUUCUUGCUUUGUGUUUUCCAGCUUCUAAAAUACAUUCAUUGAUGUAGGGAAGCUUUAUAUGUUCAAUAAUUUUCCAUUAAUAUGUAUUAUAUUAAAAUAGCCUUGUAUUAACGUAUUUGAUUCUAUAAAAUACUCUCAAUCAGUAUUUUAAAGGAACCUUAAUGCUAUUCUUUGUGAAUAGAUACUUUCAAUCAGUAUUCUUUGUAAAGUUUGGCACAUGUAAAAAUGAAGUUGCUUAAGAGUUUGUGAUUACAUACAUUAAA
Long non-coding RNA from Gossypium arboreum, 922 nucleotides. RefSeq lists it as uncharacterized. The transcript is spliced from 2 exons. Lineage: Eukaryota; Viridiplantae; Streptophyta; Magnoliopsida; Malvales; Malvaceae. The record is from RefSeq and is a predicted model, not a curated record.